CCUACGGGAGGCUGCAGUGAGGAAUAUUGGUCAAUGGACGCAAGUCUGAACCAGCCAUGCCGCGUGCAGGAAGACGGCCCUAUGAGUUGUAAACUGCUUUUGUACGGGGGUAAACUCAGACACGCGUAUCUUUCUGAAAGUAUCGUACGAAUAAGGAUCGGCUAACUCCGUGCCAGCAGCCGCGGUAAUACGGAGGAUUCAAGCGUUAUCCGGAUUUAUUGGGUUUAAAGGGUGCGUAGGUGGUCGGAUAAGUUAGAGGUGAAAUCCCGAGGCUCAACUUCGGAAUUGCAGCUGAUACUGUCAGGCUAGAGAGUAGUAGCGGUAGGCGGAAUGUAUGGUGUAGCGGUGAAAUGCUUAGAGAUCAUACAGAACACCGAUUGCGAAGGCAGCUUAC
This 394-nucleotide ribosomal RNA is filed under the name uncultured bacterium. Its description in RNAcentral is "partial 16S ribosomal RNA". It matches the Rfam family "Bacterial small subunit ribosomal RNA", at positions 338 to 729 of the family's 1533-position model. The record is from RNAcentral.